Molecule: ribosomal RNA, 455 nt
Filed under: uncultured Mollicutes bacterium
Lineage: Bacteria; Bacillati; Mycoplasmatota; Mollicutes
Description: bacterial SSU rRNA
Rfam family: Bacterial small subunit ribosomal RNA
Source: RNAcentral
CACAAGCGGUGGAGUAUGUUGUUUAAUUCGAAGAUACACGAAGAACCUUACCAGGUCUUGACAUACCAUUGACAGGUGUAGAGAUACACUCUCCUUCGGGCAAUGGAUACAGGUGGUGCAUGGUUGUCGUCAGCUCGUGCCGUGAGGUGUUGGGUUAAGUCCCGCAACGAGCGCAACCCUCAUUGUUAGUUACUACCAUUCAGUUGAGGACUCUAAUGAGACUGCCAACGACAAGUUGGAGGAAGGUGGGGAUGACGUCAAAUCAUCAUGCCCUUUAUGACCUGGGCUACAAACGUACUACAAUGGCCAAUACAAAGAGAUGCGAAGCGGUGACGUGAAGCGAACCUCAGAAAGUUGGUCUCAGUUCAGAUUGAAGUCUGCAACUCGACUUCAUGAAGGCGGAAUCGCUAGUAAUCGCGGGUCAGCAGACCGCGGUGAAUACGUUCCCGGGUUUU